UGAGUAACACGUGGGUAACCUGCCCAUCAGAAGGGGAUAACACUUGGAAACAGGUGCUAAUACCGUAUAACAAUCGAAACCGCAUGGUUUUGAUUUGAAAGGCGCUUUCGGGUGUCGCUGAUGGAUGGACCCGCGGUGCAUUAGCUAGUUGGUGAGGUAACGGCUCACCAAGGCUACGAUGCAUAGCCGACCUGAGAGGGUGAUCGGCCACAUUGGGACUGAGACACGGCCCAAACUCCUACGGGAGGCAGCAGUAGGGAAUCUUCGGCAAUGGACGAAAGUCUGACCGAGCAACGCCGCGUGAGUGAAGAAGGUUUUCGGAUCGUAAAACUCUGUUGUUAGAGAAGAACAAGGAUGAGAGUAACUGUUCAUCCCUUGACGGUAUCUAACCAGAAAGCCACGGCUAACUACGUGCCAGCAGCCGCGGUAAUACGUAGGUGGCAAGCGUUGUCCGGAUUUAUUGGGCGUAAAGCGAGCGCAGGCGGUUUCUUAAGUCUGAUGUGAAAGCCCCCGGCUCAACCGGGGAGGGUCAUUGGAAACUGGGAGACUUGAGUGCAGAAGAGGAGAGUGGAAUUCCAUGUGUAGCGGUGAAAUGCGUAGAUAUAUGGAGGAACACCAGUGGCGAAGCGGCUCUCUGGUCUGUAACUGACGCUGAGCUCGAAAGCGUGGGGAGCAAACAGGAUUAGAUACCCUGGUAGUCCACGCCGUAAACGAUGAGUGCUAAGUGUGGAGGGUUUCCGCCCUUCAGUGCUGCAGCUAACGCAUUAAGCACUCCGCCUGGGGAGUACGACCGCAAGGUUGAAACUCAAAGGAAUUGACGGGGGCCCGCACAAGCGGUGGAGCAUGUGGUUUAAUUCGAAGCAACGCGAAGAACCUUACCAGGUCUUGACAUCCUUUGACCACUCUAGAGAUAGAGCUUCCCCUUCGGGGGCAAAGUGACAGGUGGUGCAUGGUUGUCGUCAGCUCGUGUCGUGAGAUGUUGGGUUAAGUCCCGCAACGAGCGCAACCCUUAUUGUUAGUUGCCAUCAUUCAGUUGGGCACUCUAGCAAGACUGCCGGUGACAAACCGGAGGAAGGUGGGGAUGACGUCAAAUCAUCAUGCCCCUUAUGACCUGGGCUACACACGUGCUACAAUGGGAAGUACAACGAGUCGCGAAGUCGCGAGGCUAAGCUAAUCUCUUAAAGCUUCUCUCAGUUCGGAUUGUAGGCUGCAACUCGCCUACAUGAAGCCGGAAUCGCUAGUAAUCGCGGAUCAGCCGCCG
This 1261-nucleotide ribosomal RNA is filed under the name Enterococcus sp. Its description in RNAcentral is "bacterial SSU rRNA". It matches the Rfam family "Bacterial small subunit ribosomal RNA", at positions 107 to 1359 of the family's 1533-position model. Lineage: Bacteria; Bacillati; Bacillota; Bacilli; Lactobacillales; Enterococcaceae. The record is from RNAcentral.